CCUACGGGAGGCAGCAGUGGGGAAUAUUGCACAAUGGGGGAAACCCUGAUCCAGCAACGCCGCGUGCGUGAAGAAGUAUUUCGGUAUGUAAAGCUCUAUCAGCAGGGAGGAAAAAAGACGGUACCUGACUAAGAAGCCCCGGCUAACUACGUGCCAGCAGCCGCGGUAAGACGUAGGGGCCAAGCGUUAUCCGGAUUUACUGGGUGUAAAGGGAGCGUAGACGGCUUUGCAAGUCUGAGGUGAAAGCCCGUGGCUCAACCGCGGAACUGCUUUGGAAACUGUAUAGCUUGAGUACUGGAGAGGCAGGCGGAAUUCGUAGUGUAGCGGUGAAAUGCGUAGAUAUUAGGAGGAAAACCAGUGGCGAAGGCGGCAUGCUGGACAGAAACUGACGUUGAGGCUCGAAGGCGUGGGGAGCAAACAGGAUUAGAUACCCCAGUAGUC
Molecule: ribosomal RNA, 441 nt
Filed under: uncultured bacterium
Lineage: Bacteria
Description: partial 16S ribosomal RNA
Rfam family: Bacterial small subunit ribosomal RNA
Source: RNAcentral